This 477-nucleotide ribosomal RNA is filed under the name Candidatus Scalindua brodae. RNAcentral's name for it is "bacterial SSU rRNA". It matches the Rfam family "Bacterial small subunit ribosomal RNA", at positions 365 to 832 of the family's 1533-position model. Lineage: Bacteria; Pseudomonadati; Planctomycetota; Candidatus Brocadiia; Candidatus Brocadiales; Candidatus Scalinduaceae. The record is from RNAcentral.
UUCGCAAUGCCCGAAAGGGUGACGAAGCGACGCCGCGUGGGUGAGGAAGGCCUUCGGGUUGUAAAGCCCUGUCAGGAGUUAAGAAGUAUAAGUGUGUUGAUACCGCAUUUAUUUGACGAAGGCUCCAAAGGAAGCCACGGCUAACUCUGUGCCAGCAGCCGCGGUAAUACAGAGGUGGCAAGCGUUGUUCGGAAUUAUUGGGCGUAAAGAGCACGUAGGUGGGUUUGUAAGUCAGAUGUGAAAGCCUUCUGCUCAACGGGAGAAUUGCAUCUGAAACUGCGAGUCUUGAGUGUAGGAGGGGAGAAUGGAACUUCUGGUGGAGCGGUGAAAUGCGUAGAUAUCAGAAGGAACGCCGGCGGCGAAAGCGAUUCUCUGGCCUAUUACUGACACUCAGUGUGCGAAAGCUAGGGGAGCAAACGGGAUUAGAUACCCCGGUAGUCCUAGCUGUAAACGAUGGGCACUAAGUAGAGGGGUUUU